Molecule: transfer RNA, 73 nt
Filed under: Anaerolineae bacterium
Lineage: Bacteria; Bacillati; Chloroflexota; Anaerolineae
Description: tRNA-Pro
Rfam family: tRNA
About the family: Transfer RNA (tRNA) molecules are approximately 80 nucleotides in length. Their secondary structure includes four short double-helical elements and three loops (D, anti-codon, and T loops).
Source: RNAcentral
CGGGGUGUGGCGCAGCUGGGAGCGCGCUGCGUUUGGGACGCAGAGGUCCGGGGUUCGAAUCCCCGCACCCCGA